Non-coding RNA from Arabidopsis thaliana (thale cress), 116 nucleotides. RefSeq annotates it as other RNA. The record is from RefSeq. The transcript has a single exon. Lineage: Eukaryota; Viridiplantae; Streptophyta; Magnoliopsida; Brassicales; Brassicaceae.
AAGAUCUCAGACUUUGUCUUAUUUAUCUCAGAUAGUCAUGAAGGCGUACGACACAAACCCAUCAAAGCUUGGAGAAAGGUUUGGCGAGAGAGCUGAAAAACGAAGAUGUCGGAGAA